CCAGACUCCUACGGGAGGCAGCAGUGAGGAAUAUUGGUCAAUGGGCGAGAGCCUGAACCAGCCAAGUAGCGUGCAGGAAGACGGCCCUAUGGGUUGUAAACUGCUUUUAUAGGGGAAUAAAGUGAGCUACGUGUAGUUUAUUGCAUGUACCCUAUGAAUAAGGACCGGCUAAUUCCGUGCCAGCAGCCGCGGUAAUACGGAAGGUUCGGGCGUUAUCCGGAUUUAUUGGGUUUAAAGGGAGCGUAGGCCGUGGAUUAAGCGUGUUGUGAAAUGUAGAUGCUCAACAUCUGACUUGCAGCGCGAACUGGUUUACUAGAGUGUGCGCAACGUAGGCGGAAUUCGUCGUGUAGCGGUGAAAUGCUUAGAUAUGACGAAGAACUCCGAUUGCGAAGGCAGCUUACGGGAGCACAACUGACGCUGAAGCUCGAAGGUGCGGGUAUCAAACAGGAUUAGAUACCCUGGUAGUCCGCACAGUAAACGAUGGAUGCCCGCUGUUGGUCCAUUAGGGUCAGCGGCCAAGCGAAAGCAUUAAGCAUCCCACCUGGGGAGUACGCCGGCAACGGUGAAACUCAAAGGAAUUGACGGGGGCCCCGCACAAGAAGGGC
RNAcentral lists this ribosomal RNA (605 nucleotides) under uncultured bacterium. RNAcentral's name for it is "bacterial SSU rRNA". It matches the Rfam family "Bacterial small subunit ribosomal RNA", at positions 331 to 935 of the family's 1533-position model. The record is from RNAcentral.